CACAUGCAAGUCGAGGGGCAGCGGGAUUGAAGCUUGCUUCAAUUGCCGGCGACCGGCGCACGGGUGAGUAACGCGUAUCCAACCUUCCGUACACUCAGGGAUAGCCUUUCGAAAGAAAGAUUAAUACCUGAUGGUAUGAUGAGAUUGCAUGAUAGCAUCAUUAAAGAUUCAUCGGUGUACGAUGGGGAUGCGUUCCAUUAGGUAGUAGGCGGGGUAACGGCCCACCUAGCCUACGAUGGAUAGGGGUUCUGAGAGGAAGGUCCCCCACAUUGGAACUGAGACACGGUCCAAACUCCUACGGGAGGCAGCAGUGAGGAAUAUUGGUCAAUGGACGAGAGUCUGAACCAGCCAAGUAGCGUGAAGGAUGGAGGUCCUACGGAUUGUAAACUUCUUUUAUAAGGGAAUAAAACCUCCCACGUGUGGGAGCUUGUAUGUACCUUAUGAAUAAGCAUCGGCUAACUCCGUGCCAGCAGCCGCGGUAAUACGGAGGAUGCGAGCGUUAUCCGGAUUUAUUGGGUUUAAAGGGAGCGCAGACGGGUCGUUAAGUCAGCUGUGAAAGUUUGGGGCUCAACCUUAAAAUUGCAGUUGAUACUGGCGUCCUUGAGUGCGGUUGAGGUGUGCGGAAUUCGUGGUGUAGCGGUGAAAUGCUUAGAUAUCACGAAGAACUCCGAUUGCGAAGGCAGCACACUAAGCCGUAACUGACGUUCAUGCUCGAAAGUGUGGGUAUCAAACAGGAUUAGAUACCCUGGUAGUCCACACGGUAAACGAUGGAUACUCGCUGUUGGCGAUAUACUGUCAGCGGCUUAGCGAAAGCGUUAAGUAUCCCACCUGGGGAGUACGCCGGCAACGGUGAAACUCAAAGGAAUUGACGGGGGCCCGCACAAGCGGAGGAACAUGUGGUU
Molecule: ribosomal RNA, 902 nt
Filed under: uncultured bacterium
Lineage: Bacteria
Description: bacterial SSU rRNA
Rfam family: Bacterial small subunit ribosomal RNA
Source: RNAcentral